ACGCUGGCGGCAGGCCUAACACAUGCAAGUCGAGCGGCAGCACAAGGGAGUUUACUCCUGAGGUGGCGAGCGGCGGACGGGUGAGUAAUGCCUAGGGAUCUGCCCAGUCGAGGGGGAUAACAGUUGGAAACGACUGCUAAUACCGCAUACGCCCUACGGGGGAAAGAGGGGGACCUUCGGGCCUCUCGCGAUUGGAUGAACCUAGGUGGGAUUAGCUAGUUGGUGAGGUAAUGGCUCACCAAGGCGACGAUCCCUAGCUGUUCUGAGAGGAUGAUCAGCCACACUGGGACUGAGACACGGCCCAGACUCCUACGGGAGGCAGCAGUGGGGAAUAUUGCACAAUGGGGGAAACCCUGAUGCAGCCAUGCCGCGUGUGUGAAGAAGGCCUUCGGGUUGUAAAGCACUUUCAGUAGGGAGGAAAGGGUGAGUCUUAAUACGGCUCAUCUGUGACGUUACCUACAGAAGAAGGACCGGCUAACUCCGUGCCAGCAGCCGCGGUAAUACGGAGGGUCCGAGCGUUAAUCGGAAUUACUGGGCGUAAAGCGUGCGCAGGCGGUUUGUUAAGCGAGAUGUGAAAGCCCUGGGCUCAACCUAGGAAUAGCAUUUCGAACUGGCGAACUAGAGUCUUGUAGAGGGGGGUAGAAUUCCAGGUGUAGCGGUGAAAUGCGUACAGAUCUGGAGGAAUACCGGUGGC
Molecule: ribosomal RNA, 694 nt
Filed under: Shewanella putrefaciens
Lineage: Bacteria; Pseudomonadati; Pseudomonadota; Gammaproteobacteria; Alteromonadales; Shewanellaceae
Description: bacterial SSU rRNA
Rfam family: Bacterial small subunit ribosomal RNA
Source: RNAcentral